This is a non-coding RNA of Ricinus communis (castor bean), 107 nucleotides long. NCBI's taxonomy places the organism in Eukaryota, Viridiplantae, Streptophyta, Magnoliopsida, Malpighiales, Euphorbiaceae. The record is from Rfam.
AAUUCAUGGUGUGGGCAUUGCAAUAAAAGUAAUUUGAAGCGAUCUCAUGCCUCAUGAAAAGAUUCAGCAUUCUUGUGAUAAAGAUUAGAAAUUUCAGCUUUCAAUUC